Molecule: unclassified non-coding RNA, 343 nt
Filed under: soil metagenome
Description: partial contains 5.8S ribosomal RNA, internal transcribed spacer 2, and large subunit ribosomal RNA
Rfam family: 5.8S ribosomal RNA (bases 1-120)
Source: RNAcentral
GAUGAAGAACGUAGCGAAAUGCGAUAAGUAAUGUGAAUUGCAGAAUUCAGUGAAUCAUCGAAUCUUUGAACGCACAUUGCUCCCGCCAGUAUUCUGGCGGGCAUGCCUGUUCGAGCGUCAUUUCCACCAUCAGGCCCCCGGGCCUGUGUUGGGGACCUGCGGCUGCCCGCAGGCCCCGAAAUUCAGUGGCGGUCGCGCCGUAGCAACCGAGCGUAGUAACUAAAACGUCUCGCUCUGGCUCGCUGGGCGCGCUCCGGCCGUAAAACACCCCCCCUUUUCGCAAAGGUUGACCUCGGAUCAGGUAGGAAUACCCGCUGAACUUAAGCAUAUCAAUAAGCGGAGG